RNAcentral lists this ribosomal RNA (425 nucleotides) under uncultured bacterium. RNAcentral's name for it is "partial 16S ribosomal RNA". It matches the Rfam family "Bacterial small subunit ribosomal RNA", at positions 354 to 796 of the family's 1533-position model. The record is from RNAcentral.
GUGGGGAAUCUUAGACAAUGGGGGAAACCCUGAUCUAGCCAUGCCGCGUGAGCGAUGAAGGCCUUAGGGUUGUAAAGCUCUUUCAGCUGGGAAGAUAAUGACUGUACCAGCAGAAGAAGCCCCGGCUAACUCCGUGCCAGCAGCCGCGGUAAUACGGAGGGGGCUAGCGUUGUUCGGAAUUACUGGGCGUAAAGCGCACGUAGGCGGACCGGAAAGUCAGAGGUGAAAUCCCAGGGCUCAACCUUGGAACUGCCUUUGAAACUCCUGGUCUUGAGGUCGAGAGAGGUGAGUGGAAUUCCGAGUGUAGAGGUGAAAUUCGUAGAUAUUCGGAGGAACACCAGUGGCGAAGGCGGCUCACUGGCUCGAUACUGACGCUGAGGUGCGAAAGCGUGGGGAGCUAACAGGAUUAGAAACCCGGGUAGUCC